GGCCGAAAUUACAAACAAAAAAGAAGAUUAUUAUCUGGUUUGACUGUGAAACACUGAUUUCAGAUUUAUAUUGUACAUAUAUAUAACUUUGAAAAUGGGAAUAAAACAUCCUUCUUUAAACGUUUUAUCGAUUACCACUGUGCCUGUAGUGAUAUAAUUAUAAAUAGAUUUCAGAACGCGAACGUGAUAGAAAGCCUAUUUAUUAAAUUGUUUAAGACGAACGCCAGUAGGAAAUAAGAUGAGUAAACAAUGAUUAAUACCUUAGAUUUGCAUUAAGUUAGUUGCUUGAAUAUACAAAUAAUCCAACGAAG
RNAcentral lists this long non-coding RNA (311 nucleotides) under Mytilus galloprovincialis (Mediterranean mussel). Lineage: Eukaryota; Metazoa; Mollusca; Bivalvia; Mytilida; Mytilidae. The record is from RNAcentral.